GCACAAGCGGUGGAGCAUGUGGUUUAAUUCGACGCAACGCGCAGAACCUUACCAGCCCUUGACAUCCCGGUCGCGGACUCCAGAGACGGAGUCCUUCAGUUCGGCUGGACCGGAGACAGGUGCUGCAUGGCUGUCGUCAGCUCGUGUCGUGAGAUGUUGGGUUAAGUCCCGCAACGAGCGCAACCCCCGUCCUUAGUUGCUACCAUUUAGUUGAGCACUCUAAGGAGACUGCCGGUGAUAAGCCGCGAGGAAGGUGGGGAUGACGUCAAGUCCUCAUGGCCCUUACGGGCUGGGCUACACACGUGCUACAAUGGCGGUGACAGUGGGAUGCGACGGAGCAAUCCUGAGCAAAUCUCAAAAAGCCGUCUCAGUUCGGAUUGUGCUCUGCAACUCGAGCACAUGAAGUUGGAAUCGCUAGUAAUCGCAGAUCAGCACGCUGCGGUGAAUACGUUCCCGGGC
RNAcentral lists this ribosomal RNA (459 nucleotides) under uncultured bacterium. Its description in RNAcentral is "bacterial SSU rRNA". It matches the Rfam family "Bacterial small subunit ribosomal RNA", at positions 923 to 1379 of the family's 1533-position model. The record is from RNAcentral.